RNAcentral lists this unclassified non-coding RNA (261 nucleotides) under Zerene cesonia (dogface butterfly). Its description in RNAcentral is "2-oxo-4-hydroxy-4-carboxy-5-ureidoimidazoline decarboxylase-like, transcript variant X1". The record is from RNAcentral. Lineage: Eukaryota; Metazoa; Arthropoda; Insecta; Lepidoptera; Pieridae.
UGAGUGCUUGCGUACAGUGACAGUAUUAUUAUGGUGUUAUCUUAGCAAUUAAUAAUGAUCUCUAACUCUGAAAAUCCUAUUUGCACUUGAAAAUGGCCACCAGUCACUCGAAACUGACGUAUACAUUCUAUCUAAUACAAGAAGAAAUUUGGAUUUCCAUUUAUCAUCUGUGCAAGAGAAAACAAGGUAUUAUCAAUAAUUGAAGGAUUGCAAAAGCGAUAUGAUAACACAAGGGAACAAGAAAUACAAACUGGAAUAAAU